Lolium rigidum is the source of this 305-nucleotide long non-coding RNA. RefSeq lists it as uncharacterized. The record is from RefSeq and is a predicted model, not a curated record. NCBI's taxonomy places the organism in Eukaryota, Viridiplantae, Streptophyta, Magnoliopsida, Poales, Poaceae. The transcript is spliced from 3 exons.
UGCCCCAAAAUCAGAAGCUCCACUACCCUCGUCUUCCUCGAGCUCUCCCUCGAAGAGACUUGCUGGUGUGCUCCGACCACGCCGCCGUUUGAGCUCCGAUCCGCCGCCGCCGCCGUUCGAGCUCCUCGCCGAAGCCGCCGCUCGACCUCGGAGCCGCCGCCGCUGCCAUGGAGGGAUUUGGUUGAGGUUGCUGUCCAUCAUAGUUUGCUGGAUCGCUGGUUCCUAAGUGAUUCCUCAGAUUGACCCGCUCCGUGCUCUGCUCCUUACAACCCGUUCCUUGGAUUUCUUGCAUUCUGUUUGCCAAG